Molecule: long non-coding RNA, 597 nt
Organism: Saccostrea cuccullata (small rock oyster)
Lineage: Eukaryota; Metazoa; Mollusca; Bivalvia; Ostreida; Ostreidae
Exons: 4
Source: RefSeq, a predicted model, not a curated record
CUCUCUUUUUCUAUCAUGAUUGUUAUGCUAUGAAGCUUUUCUUGUAUAAAGCUCAAUUUCUCCAUGACCACUGAAGUAAUCAUCCUGAUGCAUUCUUGCCAUAUGAAUGUUGAGACCGUGUUCAUUUUUGAAAUCUCCCUUCUGACAGACAUAUUCCACAGGAUCAGCUGAGAUGUUAUUUCACUGGAUUAUUUAAUGGAUAGGCUUAUUGGGCAUAUAGUUGGAUAUCUCUGUCAUCAACAUGGAAGAUAUGGUUUGUUCCUAACCAUCUAUAAUCAAUUCUCUAUGAAGUUCAGACUGUCUGCUGUUCCUUUGGAAAUACACAGUUAGUCAACCAACAUAGAAACACACAAACUUGAAGGUAAAGAUUCAAUGAGAUACAAUUGAUUCUCUAGUGAGGGCUUAUAGAAAUGAUCUAGGUCUACUCUCAGAAUGGUGAAAGACUUUCAGAUUAUGCAAAGACUAACAGAAUAUCCUCUCUUGGAACACUGAAACAAGAAACUCAAACAGAAUGGGGGAUUUAAGAAGAACAUAGAUAAAUAUGAUUUCCAACCAAUUUAACCAGUACGAUCAUAGACUGUGGUUUACAGGAUGACA